This 492-nucleotide ribosomal RNA is filed under the name uncultured bacterium. RNAcentral's name for it is "partial 16S ribosomal RNA". It matches the Rfam family "Bacterial small subunit ribosomal RNA", at positions 30 to 507 of the family's 1533-position model. The record is from RNAcentral.
AUUGAACGCUGGCGGUAGGCCUAACACAUGCAAGUCGAACGGCAGCACAGAAAUAGCUUGCUCUUACGGGUGGCGAGUGGCGGGCGGGUGAGGAAUAUAUCCGAAUUUACUUUUUCGAGGGGGAUAACGUAGGGAAUCUUACGCUAAUACCGCAUACGACCUACGGGUGAAAGCAGGGGAUCUUCGGACCUUGCGCGAUUGUAUGAGCGGAUGUCGGAUUAGCUAGUUGGGGGGGUAAAGGCCCACCAAGGCGACGAUCCGUAGCUGGUCUGAGAGGAUGAUCAGCCACACUGGAACUGAGACACGGUCCAGACUCCUACGGGAGGCAGCAGUGGGGAAUAUUGGACAAUGGGCGAAAGCCUGAUCCAGCCAUGCCGCGUGUGUGAAGAAGGCCUUCGGGUUGUAAAGCCCUUUUAUUGGGGAAGAAGAGCAGUAAGUUAAUACCUCGCUGUUUUGACGGUACCCAAAGAAUAAGCACCGGCUAACUUCGUG